Molecule: ribosomal RNA, 194 nt
Filed under: Desulfobulbaceae bacterium enrichment culture clone 4.17c Bac band 2
Lineage: Bacteria; Pseudomonadati; Thermodesulfobacteriota; Desulfobulbia; Desulfobulbales; Desulfobulbaceae
Description: partial 16S ribosomal RNA
Rfam family: Bacterial small subunit ribosomal RNA
Source: RNAcentral
CCUACGGGAGGCAGCAGUGAGGAAUAUUGCGCAAUGGGGGAAACCCUGACGCAGCGACGCCGCGUGGAUGAUGAAGGCCUUCGGGUCGUAAAAUCCUGUCAGAUGGGAAGAAAUGGUAAUGGAUUAAUUCUCCGUUACUUUGACGGUACCAUCAAAGGAAGCACCGGCUAACUCCGUGCCAGCAGCCGCGGUAA